Long non-coding RNA from Brassica rapa (field mustard), 860 nucleotides. RefSeq lists it as uncharacterized. NCBI's taxonomy places the organism in Eukaryota, Viridiplantae, Streptophyta, Magnoliopsida, Brassicales, Brassicaceae. The record is from RefSeq and is a predicted model, not a curated record.
GAUGACAUCAUUGUUGAGACGUUGAAGCAUAAGCUCCAUGACGUAGCCUGUAAAUGGACUUUUGAAUAAUGGAAGUCAUGUGGAACAUUUGGUUCGGCUUAUUUUUAUAAUAGAAGAUCGUAUCAUUUUAUUAUAUAAGUAAGACCAAGAACUUCUAGACAAUAUUAGAAAAGACCAAAGCCUUGUGAAUUGUGAUAGUGGUUAACGUGGAAAAAAGUACUAUUGCGAAUAUUUUAUUCAUAAUGUCUUAUUCGAAUAUUAUUUCAGAACAAAAAACGCGUUAUUUGCAUUGGUUUUCCGAAUAAUAUAAACAACUUAAUUGAUGAUGUUGGUAUUAUCAUUUUUUAAAAUCAUGUUAAUGGUUCAUUCGGCGCAUUUUCAAAAUGACUCUCUAUUAUAAAGUUUGUAAAACUCUAUAUUUGAAGUUUCAAGGUAUUUUUUUUCCAAAAACAAAACUUUAAAAUUAUUUGUAAUUUACACUAUGCUAUUUAUAUUUGUCAUAAUUAAUAUAGGUCUAUAAAAAAUAUGUAAAUAACUAGCACAUAUAUAAAAAUAUUAUAGUAAUAUUAAUUAAUAAAAUCUUACACUAAAAUAUAAAAUUAUAAAUAAAAAUAUGCAAUUAAAUAUUAAACUACAAGAGAAAUACCACAUUAUCACAUAAAAUUAUUUUAUUAAUUCUCCAUUUUCAGUUAUACAAAAUUUGUUUACACAAUACUUUAGAAGUUUCGGAAAACAAUUACUAGACUAUUAGUGUUGUUGUAAUAUUUAAAUUUGUGUAAUAAUUAUGUCUUCAUGUAUAUAUCUUCUUAAAAAAAUUAUUAAGUUUCUUUUGUAAUAUUCUUAUUGUCUAAGUCUACUUU